CCUACGGGUGGCUGCAGUGGGGAAUAUUGGACAAUGGGGGCAACCCUGAUCCAGCGACGCCGCGUGUGUGAAGAAGGCCUGCGGGUUGUAAAGCACUUUUAGUGGGGAGGAAGGUCUGCGACCUAACACGUCGUGGAAUUGACUUAACCCACAGAAAAAGCACCGGCUAACUCUGUGCCAGCAGCCGCGGUAAUACAGAGGGUGCAAGCGUUAAGCGAGGUGUGCGGGCGUAAAGUGGUAGGUCGCGGUUGAAAGCCCCGGGCUCAACCGGGGAAGUGCAUUCGAGACUGCGAAGCUGGAGUGCGGAAGAGGGAAGUGGAAUUUCCGGUGUAGCGGUGAAAUGCGUAGAUAUCGGAAGGAACAUCAGUGGCGAAAGCGACUUCCUGGUCCAGCACUGACGCUCAGGCACGAAAGCGUGGGGAGCAAACAGGAUUAGAUACCCGAGUAGUC
RNAcentral lists this ribosomal RNA (450 nucleotides) under uncultured bacterium. RNAcentral's name for it is "partial 16S ribosomal RNA". It matches the Rfam family "Bacterial small subunit ribosomal RNA", at positions 338 to 795 of the family's 1533-position model. The record is from RNAcentral.